This 582-nucleotide unclassified non-coding RNA is filed under the name Ixodes scapularis (black-legged tick). RNAcentral's name for it is "ectonucleotide pyrophosphatase/phosphodiesterase family member 2-like, transcript variant X1". Lineage: Eukaryota; Metazoa; Arthropoda; Arachnida; Ixodida; Ixodidae. The record is from RNAcentral.
UGUGCAGUACGCGAGCCUGGAUACCGGCCAGGAAGGACUGGUUUGAACAGCGCCGAGUUUCACUUCGACGUGGACCGCGUGGACAUGGAAGAGGAGCGGCCUCCCAUGUGGGGGUGGAGGAAGAUCCUGGCGGUGAGCGUCCUGGCUGUGCUACUGCUGGUGUCCGCCUUUCUCGGGGGCUACUUCCACGGGCUGCACUCGGCCAGGGGCAACCGGGAUGCGGCGGCUAACAUUUCCCAGGAGUUGUUUGACUCCGGAUGGCAGCGACUGCCGUGCAUAGGAGAAGACGAGACCUGUCCAGAAGGCGCAGGUUCGGCGAGGCACCGCUGGUGCUCAUCUCCCUGGAUGGCUUUCGGGCCGACUACCUGGACCGGGGCCGCAACCCUUCUUUGGAGCGGCUAGGCCAGUGCGGCGUGCGGGCUCCCUUCAUGCGGCCCGUCUUCCCCACCAAGACGUUCCCUAACCAUUUCACCAUCGUAACGGGCCUGUGGCCGGAGUCCCAUGGCAUCGUGGACAACAAGAUGUACGACCCGGAAUUCAAGACACUCUUCUCGCUGGGCAACAAGGAGGCGGGCAAAUCCC